UGUGGGUUGGUUUCUGGAUUCUUCAUUCUGUCCGUUGGACAUUUUCUUUUUCCUUGGGCCAAAACCACACUGUCUUAAAUAUUUAAAGUCUUGCAAUUUGGUAAUAAGUUCUCCAAUUCUGUUGUUUUUCUUCAAGAUUGUCUUAGCUAUCAUAGGUCUUUUGCCUAGGUUGUAGAUUUCCAUAAUAAUGUUAGAGAUAUUAAUAUCUAUGAACAAAAACCUGAUGGAUUUUUUAUUGAGAUUGCAUUGAAUCUACAGUUAUAGUAAGAACUAACAUCUUAACUCCUUUGAAUCUUCCAAUCCAUGAUGAUGGUGUGUGUCUCUAUUCCCCAUUUAUUUAAGUCUUCUUUCUCUCAACAAUGUUUUACAGUCUUCAGUAUAGAAGUCUUGCUCAUAUUUCAUUAGACAGUAUUUCUUGAUUUUGGUAUUUUUGAUGUUAUUAUAAACAAUUUAAAAUUUUCCCAAUUGUUUGCUGCUAGUACAAAGAAAUACAAUGGACCUUUGUUGACCUGUACCCUGUGACUUUGCUAAAUUCACUUAUAAAUUCUACUAGUUUGUAGAUUACUUUGGAUUACCUACAUACAGAAACUUGACAUCUAUAAGUAGUAGAGUUCGCUUCUUCCUUUCUCAUCUCUAUCCUUUUAAUUUCUUUUUCUUGCCUUUACUGAACUGGCUACAACCUCAAGUUGUAUUCAAUACUGAAGUUCCAUUAAAUACUGUUGAAUAGAAGUAUGAUAGUGAACAUAUGUGUCUUGUCCCUGACCUCAGUGGGAAAAGGUUAAUAUUUCACUAUUAGGUGCAAUGUUAGCUAUAGUUUUUUAAUGAUAUUCCUUGUUUGCUAAGAGCUUUAUCAUACUAUUAUGAAUUUUUAUCACACUAUUGAAUUUUAUCAAAUGCUGCAUCUAUUGAGAUGAUCGUUUGAGUUACCUAUGUUCCGUUCAUUCUAUCCUUGAUUUUUAAAUUUUGAGAUAUAAAUUCACAUGCAAUUGUAAUGGGCAUUAAGGAGGGUAUGCGUUGUGAUGAGCACUGGGUGUUAUAUGCAACUGAUGAAUCACUGAAUACUACAUCUGAAACUAAUGAUAUGUUGGCUAAUUGAAUUUAAAUUAAAAAAAGAUAAUAUGAACAGAUAGCAUGUACUCUUUAUCCAAUUUCCCUCAAUAAUGUCAUUUUUCAAAAUUAUAAUAUCACAAGCAGGAUAUUGACAUUGAUUUAAUCCACUAGUUCUGUUUGUGUUUCCACUCUGAUUUCUGAAUGUUAAACCAACCUUGCAUUCUUUAAGAAAUAGGUAUAACUGGAUGCAAUAAGCUAAUAUUUUGUGAGGGAUUUUGCAUCUGUAGUCAUGAGAGAUAUUGGCCUGUGAUUCUCUUUUCUUGUAAUGACUUGACAGGUUUUGGUGUUAGGAUUAUAUUGGUCUCAAUGAAUGAUUUGGAAGUGUUUCUUUUUUCUCUGUUCUCUGAAAGAGUUUAUGUAUGUUUGCUAUUAUAUCUUUUUUUUUUUUUUAAUCCUUGGAGAAAUUCACCAGUAAAGCAAGCCAUCUUGGUUUGAAAUUUUCCUUGUGGGAAAAUUUUAAGUACAGAUUAGAACUUUUUUUAUAGAUUGGGUACUAUUCAGAAUUUUAGUUUCCUCCUGAAAGAAAUGUUUUUCAAGAAAUGUUUCCAUUUCAUCAAAGUUGUCAACUCUAUUGAGAAAGUAUUUUCCUUUAAUUUCCUCUUAUAUUUUUCAUAAUGUUUGUAAAAUCUGUAGUGAUAUUUCAUUCAUUUGUUUUUUGUUUUCUUUUUUUGAUUAGUCUUACUAGGGCUAUCAACUUUGACGCUUCAAACUGGCUUUUAGCUUUGUUGAUUUUCUCUUUAUCUUUGGCCUUAUAUUUAAAAGAUGUUCCUUGUAGAAAGCAUUAUAAGUAAAUGUAGCUUUAAAAUGGAAGGUUCAUGUCAAAUUCAGCCACAGUCAUAGUCCUUGGCUUGUGGCGCUCAUAAGAGGGAAGUGGUAAUGGUCUUGAACAGGGACUCAGCAGUUUAGAUUUCUAUUUUUUUUUUAAAGAUUUAUUUAUGUAUUUGAGAGAGAGAGGGUGUGGGGGCAGAUGGAGAGAGAGAAUCAAUCCCAAGCAGACUCCUUGCUAAGCCUGGAGCCCGACACAUGGCUUCAUGUGCGGCUUGACGUGGGGCUGGACAUGGCACUCCAAAUGGGGCUCCACAUGGGUCUCAAUUGCAGGACCCUGAGAUCAUGAUCCGAGCCGAAAUCAUGAGUCUGCUGCUUAACCAACUGAACCACCCAGGUACCCCCAGCAGUUUAGACUUAAUAGAGCUAAGAGGAGAAGGAUCUCACUCCUGGUGGAGUAUUUUUAUAUAAUAAAUUACCACCCUCAAAUUUGUUUGUUUCUAAAGUGUUUUAUAUUUAUUAUAAAUAGUGUUAGGUUAAAGAAGAAUAGGCUUGAACUGCGGACUGGCUGUCUGUCAUUGAGCACUCUCAGAGGCAAAGCAGUGUAGUCAGUGCUAUACAAGUUUCUGAAUUGGUCUUAGAAAACUUCUAACUGAACUGUUUCAUAUUGGAAUGACAGAUCAAGCAGAAGAUUUUAAGUGAUAAGGAAACUCAGAAACCAUCUUGGGCCCAUUAUCGUUUUUCUGAAUACUUGGACAUGGAAAUAAAAAGUGUACUUGCAUUUUUGUCAUGCAGAGUCUGCUGAAGCUGUCAUGACAAAAUAUCAUAGACCGACUGGCUUACACAAUAGACAUUUAGUUCUCACAGUCUGGAGACUGGGAAAUUCAAGAUUGGGUGCCAGCUGAUUGAGUUCUGAUGCAGGAGCUACAUUCCCUCCCCUUGGGUGGAACUUUGUAACUACAUCAACCAAUAGGAUAUGAUGGAAGUGAUGGUGUAUGAUUUCCAAAUUUAAGUCAUACAAAAUAUUGCAGCUUUCACCUCAGUUUCUGGUAUUGCUUGUUCUGGGAGAAGGCAGACACCAGAACAGAGACAGUAAAGGCACCUCAUGGAGAAGCCCAUGUGAAGAACAGAGGCUCCCUCUUAGCCAGCAUUAACUUGCCAGCCAUGUGAGUGAGCCACCUUGGAAGUGGAUCCUCCUGCCCCAGUCAAGCCUUCAGAUGACUAUUGCCCCCACUGACAUAUGACUGCAACUGCCUGAGGGCCCAGGUGAGAGCUGUCCAUUGGAGCCCUUCCCAAAUUCCUAACUAACAGAAGCCAUGAAAGAGAAUAAAUGACAAUUGUUAUAAGCCACUGAGUUUGGAGGUAAUUUGUUAUAUAGCAUUAUAUAACUUACAUGGUAGACUAGGAAUGGAACUCUGUUAAUGAAUAUAUGUAGCAAAUUGCACAAGGAUAGAAGUGAAAAUUCUAUCUAAUGAGAGAUGUGAAUGGUGGACAAAUUUUACUAAUAAGUGCAAAUAGAAGUUUUCAAUAUCCAUGUGUUAGGUUAAUUUUCUCCAUUAAUUAAUAAAACGACAUUCUCUUAGUACAUAGUUUUUUUUUUUUUCAUGAAUCUUACCUUGAAAUCCUGCUCAUCCUCAUAUAGUAAGUAUUUCAUACCAGAGGCCCCAAACUCUAUACAUGAGCUGUUUUCUUCAUCUGUCUUCAGGUGUUUGGCAUAUCCGAUACCAUCCUCAUGACUAAGAUAUGAAGCACUGCUCUCCACUGAUGAGCUCAUGAAGUCUCUACCUUUUACUUCUGCAGCACCCACUGAGCUUUCAACCAGAACAUAUGAUGUCUGCAAAGCUCCCUGUAGCUUUUCCAUGAUGUCCGCCUGAAGACAGCAUGAAGCAGACUCUGCAGACAUUCAAACCACCCCCAUGCUCAGCAGCUCAGCAAUUGGAGCGAAGCCCCUGGAUUACAGGUUGCCAAUUAUUUAAGGAACAUGGGUAAACUGUUACUGAAAGUGCUCAAGUCUCCAGCAAAUCAUGUAACUGCACACAAUAUUUAUGUUUGUAAAAGCUUCUUAAUUCAGCUCAGUAAAGGUCACGCCCACACGUAGCUCUGGUCUGCAGGUGGACAUGCCUGAGGUCUUAGAAUUCUCUUCUGUCUUCCUUUUUCCAUUUUGAAUCAUUGUGAUCUUACUAAAUGUCAUAAACUUCAUGAAUCUGGAUUCUCUCUUAACCAUUAAUUUAUUGUCACUUUUGUACAGCCAUAAGGGAACAACACUUAAUGAUACGGAAAAUACUUAAAGUAUGUUGUUAUAUGAAGUUAGUGUUAGAUUUGUAGCUGUUGGUCCACUUAGCCUCAGUUCUG
Long non-coding RNA from Ailuropoda melanoleuca (giant panda), 4227 nucleotides. RefSeq lists it as uncharacterized. NCBI's taxonomy places the organism in Eukaryota, Metazoa, Chordata, Mammalia, Carnivora, Ursidae. The transcript has 4 exons. The record is from RefSeq and is a predicted model, not a curated record.